CAGUCGCCGCGGUAAUACGUAGGUGGCAAGCGUUGUCCGGAAUUAUUGGGCGUAAAGGGCUCGCAGGCGGUUUCUUAAGUCUGAUGUGAAAGCCCCCGGCUCAACCGGGGAGGGUCAUUGGAAGCUGGGAAACUUGAGUGCAGAAGAGGAGAGUGGAAUUCCACGUGUAGCGGUGAAAUGCGUAGAGAUGUGGAGGAACACCAGUGGCGAAGGCGACUCUCUGGUCUGUAACUGACGCUGAGGAGCGAAAGCGUGGGGAGCGAACAGGAUUAGAUACCCGCGUAGUCCCUGUCUCUUAUAC
This 301-nucleotide ribosomal RNA is filed under the name uncultured bacterium. RNAcentral describes it as "partial 16S ribosomal RNA". It matches the Rfam family "Bacterial small subunit ribosomal RNA", at positions 509 to 807 of the family's 1533-position model. The record is from RNAcentral.